Small nuclear RNA from Otolemur garnettii (small-eared galago), 107 nucleotides. The record is from Ensembl. Lineage: Eukaryota; Metazoa; Chordata; Mammalia; Primates; Galagidae.
GUGCUUGCUUUGGUAGCACACAUACUAAAAUUGGAAUGAUACAGAAAAGAUUAGCAUGGCCCCUGUACAAGGAUGACAGGCAAACUCAUGAACUGUUCCAUAUUUUU